Molecule: ribosomal RNA, 453 nt
Filed under: uncultured bacterium
Lineage: Bacteria
Description: bacterial SSU rRNA
Rfam family: Bacterial small subunit ribosomal RNA
Source: RNAcentral
UACGGGAGGCAGCAGUGGGGAAUAUUGCACAAUGGGCGCAAGCCUGAUGCAGCCAUGCCGCGUGUAUGAAAAAGGCCUUCGGGUUGUAAAGUACUUUCAGUCGUGAGGAAGGUGUUAAGGUUAAUAACCUUAGCAAUUGACGUUAGCGACAGAAGAAGCACCGGCUAACUCCGUGCCAGCAGCCGCGGUAAUACGGAGGGUGCGAGCGUUAAUCGGAAUUAUUGGGCGUAAAGGGCACGCAGGCGGUUAAUUAAGUUGGAUGUGAAAUCCCCGGGCUUAACCUGGGAAUGGCAUUCAAGACUGGUUAGCUAGAGUCUUGUAGAGGGGGUAGAAUUCCAUGUGUAGCGGUGAAAUGCGUAGAGAUGUGGAGGAAUACCGGUGGCGAAGGCGGCCCCUGGACAAAGACUGACGCUCAUGUGCGAAAGCGUGGGGAGCAAACAGGGAUUAGAUACC